AUGUAAGUCGCGACUUAUUUUGUCCCGUAUAAAUGGCCCUAAUGAGUGGAAGUUCAAUCAGAACGGCUUCUCUGAGUUCUCUCGAGUGCCAUUGCUAUUUUGAAUAGCUACCCCCUCCAGCUACACACAUAAAAACGCACAAGUUGUUACAGGUCUGCAAAAAAGUUGUUACAAGUCUGUGCAAGCUAUUAACAAGUGUCUUGCCUGCUUGUUCUCAGUUGUUGUAACAAGUUUGGAACAAGCUGUUAACAACUUGUAACAAGCUUGAUGGCACUAUCACACUUGCUACAAGGUUGUUCUAACAAGUCUGAUACAGUCAUGAUUUAAAAGAAUGUUACAAGGUUGACGACACAAGGUUGUAACAAUAUUGUUAUAUCAUGACUGCGAUCGGAUUUGUUGGAACAACAUUGCAACAAGUCUGAUAAUACAAACAAGGUUGAUGCAAGCUGUUAAUUAUUAACAGCUUGUUCCAAACUUGUUGUCAAUUUGGAACAAGCAGUGCGAAGACAAACCUGUGUCUUGUUGGCAGAUUUGCUACAAGAUGUGACAUUUUUGCGUGUGUUGUGUAAUAUUAUUCAAAACGGCAUUGACACUCAAGAGAAGCUCAGAUUAAACCUCCACUCAUUUGAGUGUGAGCUUUUAGAAUGCAAGCGUAAGAGUUUUUCAGUAUAAUUCAGUUUUUGAAUGCAAAGCUGGUUUGUAAUAAACGAUUUAUCUG
Non-coding RNA from Paramuricea clavata, 718 nucleotides. Lineage: Eukaryota; Metazoa; Cnidaria; Anthozoa; Malacalcyonacea; Plexauridae. The record is from the annotation of a GenBank genome assembly.